RNAcentral lists this ribosomal RNA (469 nucleotides) under Delftia acidovorans. Its description in RNAcentral is "bacterial SSU rRNA". It matches the Rfam family "Bacterial small subunit ribosomal RNA", at positions 56 to 523 of the family's 1533-position model. Lineage: Bacteria; Pseudomonadati; Pseudomonadota; Betaproteobacteria; Burkholderiales; Comamonadaceae. The record is from RNAcentral.
UGCAGUCGAACGGUAACAGGUCUUCGGACGCUGACGAGUGGCGAACGGGUGAGUAAUACAUCGGAACGUGCCCAGUCGUGGGGGAUAACUACUCGAAAGAGUAGCUAAUACCGCAUACGAUCUGAGGAUGAAAGCGGGGGACCUUCGGGCCUCGCGCGAUUGGAGCGGCCGAUGGCAGAUUAGGUAGUUGGUGGGAUAAAAGCUUACCAAGCCGACGAUCUGUAGCUGGUCUGAGAGGACGACCAGCCACACUGGGACUGAGACACGGCCCAGACUCCUACGGGAGGCAGCAGUGGGGAAUUUUGGACAAUGGGCGAAAGCCUGAUCCAGCAAUGCCGCGUGCAGGAUGAAGGCCUUCGGGUUGUAAACUGCUUUUGUACGGAACGAAAAAGCUUCUCCUAAUACGAGAGGCCCAUGACGGUACCGUAAGAAUAAGCACCGGCUAACUACGUGCCAGCAGNCNNNNUAA